Molecule: ribosomal RNA, 459 nt
Filed under: uncultured bacterium
Lineage: Bacteria
Description: partial 16S ribosomal RNA
Rfam family: Bacterial small subunit ribosomal RNA
Source: RNAcentral
CCUACGGGUGGCUGCAGUGAGGAAUAUUGGUCAAUGGCCGGAAGGCUGAACCAGCCAAGCCGCGUGAAGGACGAAGGUGCCAAGCACUGUAAACUUCUUUUGCAAAGGGACAAAAUCAGGCUCGAGAGCCUGACCGAGGGUACUUGAAGAAAAAGCAUCGGCAAACUCCGCGCCAGCAGCCGCGGUAAUACGGGGGAUGCGACGUUUAUCCGGAUUUAUUGGGGUAAACGGGUGGGUGGCCGGACUGUUAAGUCAGCGGUAAAAGCCCGGGGCUCAACCCCGGCGAGCCUUUGAAACUGGCUGUCUGGAGAUGUCGAGAGGUAUGCGGAAUGCGCAGUGUAGCGGUGAAAUGCUUAGAUAUUGCGCAGAACUCCGAUUGCGAAGGCAGCAUACCGGCGGCGAUCUGACGCUGAGGCACGAAAGCGUGGGUAUCGAACAGGAUUAGAUACCCCAGUAGUC